AUUGAACGCUGGCGGCAGGCCUAACACAUGCAAGUCGAGCGGAUGAGAGGAGCUUGCUCCUCGAUUCAGCGGCGGACGGGUGAGUAAUGCCUAGGAAUCUGCCUAGUAGUGGGGGACAACGUUUCGAAAGGAACGCUAAUACCGCAUACGUCCUACGGGAGAAAGUGGGGGAUCUUCGGACCUCACGCUAUUAGAUGAGCCUAGGUCGGAUUAGCUAGUUGGUAGGGUAACGGCCUACCAAGGCGACGAUCCGUAACUGGUCUGAGAGGAUGAUCAGACACACUGGAACUGAGACACGGUCCAGACUCCUACGGGAGGCAGCAGUGGGGAAUAUUGGACAAUGGGCGAAAGCCUGAUCCAGCCAUGCCGCGUGUGUGAAGAAGGCCCUCGGGUCGUAAAGCACUUUAAGUUGGGAGGAAGGGCUUACAGCGAAUACCUGUGAGUUUUGACGUUACCGACAGAAUAAGCACCGGCUAACUUCGUGCCAGCAGCCGCCGCAG
Molecule: ribosomal RNA, 500 nt
Filed under: uncultured bacterium
Lineage: Bacteria
Description: partial 16S ribosomal RNA
Rfam family: Bacterial small subunit ribosomal RNA
Source: RNAcentral